CCAAUGGUUUUGUUCAAAACCACUGUCAAUCAGUAAUAAGCAUUCU
Non-coding RNA from Loxodonta africana (African savanna elephant), 46 nucleotides. NCBI's taxonomy places the organism in Eukaryota, Metazoa, Chordata, Mammalia, Proboscidea, Elephantidae. The record is from Rfam.